This 253-nucleotide ribosomal RNA is filed under the name uncultured bacterium. RNAcentral's name for it is "partial 16S ribosomal RNA". It matches the Rfam family "Bacterial small subunit ribosomal RNA", at positions 524 to 776 of the family's 1533-position model. The record is from RNAcentral.
GACAGAGGGUGCAAACGUUGCUCGGAAUCACUGGGCGUAAAGGGCGUGUAGGCGGGAAGGAAAGUCAGAUGUGAAAUCCCUGGGCUCAACCCAGGAACUGCAUUUGAAACUCCCUUUCUUGAGUGUCGGAGAGGAAAGCGGAAUUCCUGGUGUAGAGGUGAAAUUCGUAGAUAUCAGGAGGAACACCGGUGGCGAAGGCGGCUUUCUGGACGACAACUGACGCUGAGACGCGAAAGCGUGGGGAGCAAACGGG